Molecule: microRNA precursor, 103 nt
Filed under: Marmota monax (woodchuck)
Lineage: Eukaryota; Metazoa; Chordata; Mammalia; Rodentia; Sciuridae
Source: RNAcentral
AGUGGGAUAGUUGGGUCAAAUGGUUGUUCCAUUCCAUGUUUUCUGAGGAAUCUCUAUACUGUUUUCCAGAGUGGUUGCUCCAAUUUGCUAUCCCACUAACAAU